CGCUGGCGGCACGCCUAACACAUGCAAGUCGAACGCAGUAGCAAUACUGAGUGGCAAACGGGUGAGUAUAAUGUGGGAAUCUGCCUUUUGGUUUGGAAUAACACGGGGAAACUUGUGCUAAUACCGAAUAAGCCCUUACGGGGAAAGUUUUAAUGCCGAAAGAUGAGCCCGCACUUGAUUAGCUAGUUGGUAAGGUAAAAGCUUACCAAGGCAACGAUCAAUAGCUGUUCUUAGAGGAAGACCAGCCACAUUGGGACUGAGACACGGCCCAGACUCCUACGGGAGGCAGCAGUGGGGAAUCUUGCACAAUGGGGGAAACCCUGAUGCAGCGAUGCCGCGUGAGUGAAGAAGGCCCUUGGGUUGUAAAACUCUUUCGUCGGGGAAGAAAAUGACUGUACCCGAAUAAGAAGGUCCGGCUAACUUCGUGCCAGCAGCCGCGGUAAUACGAAGGGACCUAGCGUAGUUCGGAAUUACUGGGCUUAAAGAGCUCGUAGGUGGUUAAAAAAGUUGAUGGUGAAAUCCCAAGGCUCAACCUUGGAACUGCCAUCAAAACUUUUUAGCUAGAGUGUGAUAGAGGUAAGUGGAAUUUCUAGUGUAGAGGUGAAAUUCGUAGAUAUUAGAAAGAACACCAAAUGCGAAGGCAACUUACUGGGUCACUACUGACACUGAGGAGCGAAAGCAUGGGUAGCGAAGAGGAUUAGAUACCCUCGUAGUCCAUGCCGUAAACGAUGUGUGCUAGACGUUGGAAAUAUAUUUUUCAGUGUCGCAGCG
Molecule: ribosomal RNA, 771 nt
Filed under: uncultured Pelagibacteraceae bacterium
Lineage: Bacteria; Pseudomonadati; Pseudomonadota; Alphaproteobacteria; Candidatus Pelagibacterales; Candidatus Pelagibacteraceae
Description: bacterial SSU rRNA
Rfam family: Bacterial small subunit ribosomal RNA
Source: RNAcentral